AAUAUUGCACAAUGGAGGAAACUCUGAUGCAGCGACGCCGCGUGAGCGAUGAAGGCUUUCGAGUCGUCCAGCUCUGUCCUAGGGGACGAUAAUGACGGUACCCUAGGAGGAAGCCCCGGCUAACUACGUGCCAGCAGCCGCGGUAAUACGUAGGGGGCGAGCGUUGUCCGGAAUUAUUGGGCGUAAAGGGUUCGCAGGCGGCCUUUUAAGUCAGAUGUGAAAGCCCACGGCUUAACCGUGGUAAGCAUUGGAGACUGGAAGGCUUGAGUUAGGGAGAGGAAAGUGGAAUUCCUAGGGUAGCGUGGAAAUGCGUAGAUAUUAGGAGGAAUACCAGUGGCGAGGGCGACUUUCUGGACUUAUACUGACGCGGAGGAACGAAAGCGUGGGGAGCGAA
Molecule: ribosomal RNA, 394 nt
Filed under: uncultured bacterium
Lineage: Bacteria
Description: partial 16S ribosomal RNA
Rfam family: Bacterial small subunit ribosomal RNA
Source: RNAcentral